AAAUAAUUUGAAUGUAAAAUUAACCAACAGUUGAAUAUAUUAAGCAUUAAAAAACAGAGAUCGAAAUCGAAAAAAUUAACAGAAAUAGUGGUAGUAAAAAUUGCACUAUGAUUAUGAAAGAUUAUCAUUAGUUUAAAAAAACCAGGGGACAAAAUGAAUAGAGGACGAAAUAGAAGCACAAGAAAGGUAUCGUUAUUUAUUUAAAAUGGGUGCAUAGUGUUGUGCAAGGGAUAACACAUCGCAUAAUAUAUUGGCUAGUACCUUAAAAGCGAAAGAAAAUAGUAAAGGAGUCUUAAUGGUAAAAAUCUCACUUGCU
Long non-coding RNA from Ceratosolen solmsi marchali, 316 nucleotides. RefSeq lists it as uncharacterized. The transcript has 3 exons. Lineage: Eukaryota; Metazoa; Arthropoda; Insecta; Hymenoptera; Agaonidae. The record is from RefSeq and is a predicted model, not a curated record.